AUACCGGGCCUUUUUGGGCUUGGUAAUUGGAAUGAGGGAGAGUUAAACGGACCAUCGAGUAUCCAUUGGAGGGCAAGUCUGGUGCCAGCAGCUGCGGUAAUACCAGCUCCAAUAGCGUAUAUUAAAGUUGUUGCAGUUAAAAAGCUCGUAGUUGGACUUGUGUGCGCUGUCCGCGGGUGGCCUGCGCCCAAAAGGGCGUUUCGGUUCGGCCCCGGUGGCGCCUUGAAAUCUGCAGCUGGGGGGACGUUGGCCUUAACUGGUCGGCGACCGCACGCCGGCUGCUCGGUUACUGUGAGAAAAUUAGAGUGUUCAAGGCAGGCAUUGGGUGCAAUUGAAUACAUUAGCAUGGAAUAAUAAAAUAUGGCUCCUGCCGUAUUUUGUUGGUUUUGACUGGUGGGAGUAAUGAUUGAUAGGGACGGUUGGGGGUGCUAGUAUUGAGCGGCCAGAGGUGAAAUUCAUGGAUUCGCUCAAGGCUAACUUAUGCGAAAGCAUUCACCAAGGACGUCCUCUUUAAUCAAGAACGAAAGUUGGGGGAUCGAAGACGAUCAGAUACCGUCGUAGUCUCAACCAUAAACUAUGUCGACUUGGGAUCGGCGGUAGUUUUUUCAUUAAGACACUGUCGGGACCACGGGAGAAAUCAAAGUGUCUGGACUCUGGGGGAAGUAUGGUCGCAAGGCUGAAACUUGAAGGAAUUGACGGAAGGGCACCACCAGGAGUGGAGCCUGCGGCUUAAUUUGACCCAACACGGGGAAACUUACCAGGUCCAGAGAUGUAGAGGAUUGACAGAUUGAAGCUCUUUCUUGAUCACUUCGGUGGUGGUGCAUGGCCGUUCUUAGUUGGUGGAGUGAUUUGUCUGGUUAAUUCCGUUAACGAACGAGACCUCAGCCUGCUAGUGUAGUCGGCUGGAUUGCCUUUGGCGAUCCGUGAUUUCGACUUCUUAGAGGGACAAUCGACGCGCAGUCGAUGGAAGUUUGAGGCAAUAACAGGUCUGUGAUGCCCUUAGAUGUUCUGGGCCGCACGCGCGCUACACUGCUGGGCUCAGCGAGUUUUACUUGGCCGAGAGGCCCGGUUAAUCUUGUGAAAUCCCAGCGUGCUUGGGCUCGCCUCCUGCAACUGGAGGCGCCAACGAGGAAUUCCUAGUAGACGCAGGUCAUCAACCUGCAUCGAUUACGUCCCUGCCCUUUGUACACACCGCCCGUCGUUCCAUAAGAGUUAGGCAUCCGGUGAAUUCUCGGGAGAGCCUGGGCGUGGCCAGCAAUGGUCUGCUCGGGUUUGAACUUGCAUAAACUUGGUGCCUAUGAUUAGGG
Molecule: ribosomal RNA, 1307 nt
Filed under: metagenome
Description: SSU rRNA
Rfam family: Eukaryotic small subunit ribosomal RNA
Source: RNAcentral